Long non-coding RNA from Dromaius novaehollandiae (emu), 8044 nucleotides. RefSeq lists it as uncharacterized. NCBI's taxonomy places the organism in Eukaryota, Metazoa, Chordata, Aves, Casuariiformes, Dromaiidae. The transcript has 2 exons. The record is from RefSeq and is a predicted model, not a curated record.
GCGGCCCGCGGCUCCUACCCGCUGCGCGGGGCGCGUUGCCGGCCUAGGAGCUGCGGGCGAGCGGCCCAGGCGGCGGCCCGGGGGAGGGUGUUUGACUCGGGCCCCGCGGGCUCGGGGCGGCUCGGGCCCAGGGAAGGGACCGAGAUCGGUGGCGGACGAGGCGCGGGAAGCAGCGGCGGUUGGGGGCGGAGGGGAGCGGGGGGGAGGCGGCGUGGGGCUGCCCUGCCGCUCGCUCUUCACCGUUUCAGACGGAGGGAGGCCGCUCUUCACCGUUUCAGUGAGGCCAGGCUCGCAGCUCGGGGCAUUCCUGAGGCGUCGCUUGACAAGCUCCCGCAGAUCUCCCUUCUGCGCCCUGCAUCACAAACUGUUCUCCUUAAAAUUUCAAGCCAUAGUGUGGUUCUAAGAUGCACUACAAGACUUGUCAAUGCCAAACUAUUUUAAGGAAAAUAAACAGCUGUGAAAACAUGGGCUUCCAGCAAAAUGUUUUUUGUCUCUAUAACGUGUGUAGAUAUAUCUAUUAAUUACAUUUUUCAGGCAAUGUAGGUGAUGUACAUUCACUUUGUAUAUGUAGUUUUAUAUGUGUAUGAAAAAUUGUGUACUUUUUUUUAAGUAAAAUCUUAAAUACACCUACUUUCUGGGGAAGAAUGGUAUUAUGAGCUCGGGUCAUAAUGUAAAGAAAUAUACUUUGAAAUGGUAAUUCUCAGUUCCCAUCAAAGCAAAAUGAUAGAUGAGACAUUAAAUAGGUCAGUUGCUGAACUGCUCCUACUUUCUCUGUCUCUGUAACAUGGAACUAUAUCACUGUAGAUAAACCACCUGAAGUCUGAGAUCUACUUGUAUCUGGAAAAAAUGGCUUUGAGAUAUCUGGUAACCAGGAAGUACAAAGUAUCUACAGAAAAAAAAAAUGGUUAUGGAAUGCUAUUGAUCUAUUAGUCAAAUAGUAAGUGUUGAGGAAUUUUAGCACUAGGGGAGCAUUUUAGUGCAGGGUAGAGACAUCUGAGAGAGCUUUAACAAGCUAGUUUGGAUAUGCAAGGAAGUCUGUGGCAUUGCAAAUUCCAGUCAGGUUAAUAUGUGCUGCUUCAGAGAAGUAACCUAAACAUUUUACAUGCUGAAAUGUCAUUCAUCCAUUAAGAAGCUACAAUGGUAGAUCUUCCCAUUUAUUCCUGGUAAUAUGUUUCCAGUUGGUUCCAGGGGAAUUACUUUUUAUGUCUUUUUUUUUUCUGUUUUUCCUUAAUACGUCCUGAUUAUUUUUUUCCUUUCCUUUACGUGUGUUACUUUAUGUUCUCUCGUAUAUGGCUGUCCUCGCCUUCUCUGACUUCAGGCAAAUGGCUUUUUUCUCCAGUACUUGUUUUUUUUUUUUUUUUUUUUCCUGUCUCUUAGAAAUAUUCUUUCCAAAGGAUCAGUCCAAGCUCCCGCCAUAGACCUGGCAGAAUACCUCAGCCUCUCGGAGCAGAAUCUUGUUUUAAAAGAAAACCACAUAUUUGUCACUAAAGUCUUAAAACUUUCAUAGCACAGUUAUAUCUUAAUAUUGUAGAAAUGUUGAUUGGAAGGGACCUUUGGGGGUCCACCUUCUACUCACAGCAGGAGUCACCAGCACUAGGUCAGGGUCAUGGCUUGGCCCCCUGAGCCUGGACACCACCAGGACUGAGAUCUCCCAUCUCUGUGGUGAUCUGUCCCAGGGCUGCUCCCUCUCGGGGAAAAAGUAUUUCCUUACAUCCAGCCUGAACCCCCUGGGCUGUUAUCUGUGCUGUUGCCCCCUUGUUAUGUUAUCUGUCACUGCCGAGAAGGGUUUGGCCCCAUCUGCCCCCUCUGUCCCUGCCCAUCCCACAGCCCGGGGCUGCUUGCAGGACCCCCCCUGCAGCCUCCCCAUGGCCAGAUCCAACAAGCCCAGCUCCCUCCCAUCUCCUCAUGGAUCAGGUGCUCCAGGCCCUGACCAGCUUCCAGUGUGGGUGUAUUUGGCAUCCACCCACUCCAGCACCAUGUAGCAGGGAUAAUAAUGUCCUUAAUAUCAUUGAGGCUGUACGGCCAAAGCCUGCAUUAAGGAAGGAUGGCCCAGACCUCCGGCAGAGACAGGCACACCUGCAUGGGAGCACUCUCUGGGCUGUGUAAGGGCAAGCAGGACACAGCAGCCACCUGGAAGGAGGCACAUUGGCAUUAGAGCCUGCAACAAGGCUGGGAGCACUGACCCACCCGCUCUAAGUUACCUAUCUGACAUACUGACACCAGCACAGAGCUUGGCCCAACUUGUAUGAUAUAUAGAGUGCAAGUCUAGCUGUUCUUUCCUUUAGCUUAGCAGUCAUAUGCAAGUAGAACAACCCCAAUCAAGGGACUGGCCAGGUCUUAACAGAUAACUAGAAAUACUCUGUACCUCACAGUUAUCAAACUGUGAUAAUAUAAUUUUAGGUUUUUUUUCUUCAAUGAUUGCUGUAGAAGAACAAACAAACUGAGCUCCAGCUGAGAAGCAGCAGCAUUUCAGAGGCUAAUAAGGCAAGUUUGGAAAAUACAAUAAUUGGCUGAUUUGGGAUGCUACUGGGAUCCAUCAAAAGGAAAAUCAUCUAAAUUUAAGAAUUAAUCAGUAGUUUCCUAAAAGAUGUUGAGGUAAUGGACUUCAAAUUUCAACUUACAUUGUAAAAGAAAAUAGUAACUUCAAACAAUACAUAUUAAAACAGAAAAUUGUCCAAAAAAGGUUAAAAUAGGGGUUCUUUCUAAUUAACGUAAUUACUCAGAUGUCUUGGCAACCUGUCUGCUGUUUUCUUCAACCCUUCUGCUCUUGCAUAAACGUCACUGAAUUUUUAAAGCAUUUUAGACUUAGCUUUUCUCUGAGACAGACCCUUAUGACUUUAUUUUAUUCUUACUUGUAAUUUAUAUAUUGUUCAGGCGCUUGAUAAAAAAAAAAAUCAAACAGCUCACUUGGGAACCUGCUCUUCAAGAGCAGUUAACUUCUUAUGCAACAUCAAUUUUACUACAGGAUGGGACAUUAUUAAACAUGAUCCCUUGUCUACAUAAGCAGGAGAUGCUUCCCCUACAGAUGAGUCAGUUGAGAAUUUUGGUAGCUAUUAGAUACAAUAACUUGUGGAACAGAUCUGCUGCUUCUGAUCUAUAGUUUCUUCACUGUACCUGUUCCACUAAACAUUACUUCGCAGGUAAAAAAUAGAUACAAAAUUUCCUUCUUACACCUGAUCUAGCUCAUGUUGAAAUCCAGACAGUCUCUCCAGUGAUCCAAAUAGGAUCUACUCAUUUCUCCAGAUCUCUCCAGUGAUCUACUCAUUAUAAUCCAUCCAUCAUCGCAUCAGUGAUGUGGUGUUUUUGUCAUUAAAUCUAUGCACAAAAAAUACUUAGGUUCUCAAAAUUACAAUUUUACCAAGGUACUCUACUGGCAGUUUUGGGUUGGUUCCAGUUAGUGGAUUAAUAUAACCUCCAUUAAAAAAAAAAGAAAAGCUUAAAAAUGUUUGGAAACAACUUCAGUUUCUUCAGCAGUAUUGCAGGUUUCCCCCUUUUUCUUCUAUGUGCUUCUAUAGCUCUUCCAAAUAAAAAAUGUAUUUAAUCAAUGAAUAAAUAUGUGUCAAUGGCUAAAUACACCUAUUGAUUUAUAGAAGGCCUUCCUUUUUCUACUGCUCCUUCAAUCUUUCAUGGUAAAUAAAAUUAUAACUUUUUAGGCAUUUUUUAAAUCUAUGUAGAAUGUGUCAACAGUUUCUCUUUGAGGCUUUAUAAAAUGAACAAGAUAUAAUCAGCGAUGCUGACAGCUUUUGUUAUUAAUUUGAGGCUUAUACUAGUUUUUGUAAUCGCCCCUCUGGAAUAGAAAAAGAAUAAUCAUUCAUUUUACUGUCUGCAUUUCAUACACUAGGAAAAUGCUAUUGUGUUUGAAUUACCAAUGCUUUUGGAAAAUAUUUAGGACCCUUCUGUUUUUUCUCCCACUCUUAAAAAAAUGACAUCUGUUUUGUUGCAAUUAAGGAUAAAUGCAAGCACACACACAAAUAAUAAAAAACUUUAAACCUACAUUUUAUUACUGCUAUUUGACAGCUGUGGCACUAACCUUCAAAAAAAAAUCCACUGCUCAAAAAUACUUACAAAUUUUUUUAUGGUAGAUGCAAUUGUUCAGAAGCCAGACAGGGUCAGUUUAGAGGUAAGGCUGACACUUCUGUUUUUUAACUGUGCAGAAUGCAAAACUUAAAUUGGGCCUUAAAUUCUCACAGUGUUGAAAUACGGUUAUUUCUUGAGCAAAUAUUUACUUAAAAAUGGCAAGAAAUAUCAAUUUCAUCCUGUUUUACUAAAUACACAGCUAGUUUCAUAACCUUUACAUUCUUGAAGGCUUAACCCAGGACUUACAAACUCUAAAACCUGAUCCUGCAAGAGUCUCUGUGAGGAAAGACUGGUCAUCUUACUGGAGCUUUCCGUGUUUGCAUAAAUCUAACCACAGAGAGGGGCUGCUCUGCCAUCACUGCUGACACACGUGAGCUCAUGCUGCCCACACACCAUGCUGGUCAGAAGCUGUAGUAGCCUGGUGCUGAGCCAUCAGAGGCUAACAGCCAAACUAUGCAAACUGUGUACUUGUUUUCAGUGGUAAUGUGAUUUGUGCCUUAGUUUUCAAUUCAUUUCUUCUAUGAAAGUAUCUGUCUGGAAGAGAAAGGUACUGGAAAUCAUGAAAAGAGAAGGUCUUUGUGGCAGCUGCUGUCUUUGCCCAUGAGUUUCUCAUGCUUCUGAGUUCCCAUAUCACAGGUACUGUGGAUCUCAGUGUCUGAAAUAUGAAGAAUGUAUAUCCAGCAGUAAAGGAAGACGAAUCUUUGUCUUUUUAGUUAUGUUGGUAGUUCAGUGGCUUCAUUGCAGUAGUACAGCUUUCUGGCUGCAUAGGGCUCACUUUAUGGAAGUGCUGCAACUGGCUGGAUCACUCAGAAGGCAGCCAGGAAUUUGUAGGAAACUGGAAAUGUACGAUUCCUGAGGACUCCGUUUAUGUAAAGAGAAUCCCCAGAUGAGAGUGAAAACGAGUAGGAAGUGAAUCCUCUAUCAAAGUCUUGAGACAGAGUUCUUCUGGGAGAAGUGAGUCAGAGUUCCCCGAGCAUUUGGCAUCCCUUAGCUACUGAAAUAAAUCAGCCGAGUUGCGUGCAGUUAUGCGUGAUGCGGAGCAUGGGCUACUGCACUCCAGGUGGCAGGGUCAGGGAAGUGCAAAGGUGUUGGAGAGACAAGCUACAGGUGAUAGGUAUGUUCCACCUGACCCUGAAACCUUGCAUCAUACAUUGUGCUUCCUAGUUAAGGACAGAUCUAGAAAUUGGCAACAUGAAUUGAUUAAAGACUUUCUGAGCCAGAGGUUAUACUGUAUUUUAUAGGCAAUUCUUUCAUGAAUCUGUCUAGUCUCCCCUUGAACCCAUGUAAACUUCUAGCAUCCAUGUUUUGUAGCAGAGUCCCACAGUUUAACUUUAUGUCAUAUCACUAACUACUUCUCUUGGCUGUUUUGAACCUGUUGCCAGCUAAUUUCUGGUGUCCCUACAUUUUAUAUGGAAGAAGAUGUCAAGGAAAUCAGUCUUUGUCCUACCUUUUCAGUAACUUACGAUUUUAUACAUCUCUUGCUAACUCUGCCAGGAUGAAAAGUUCCAAACUUCAUGGUUCCUCACCAAAAAGCCGUUCUGUAGCUUUCGUCAUCCAUGCUUCCCUUCACUGAAUCUUCUUCAGAUGGGCUCUACACUUUUUAAAGUGGGACCUGAACUGUAGACAGAGUUCAAGAUGGAGGCAUAGCAUCAGUUUAAACACAGACAUGAUUAUUUUCUGUCUCCCUUUCCUACUAAUUCCUGGCAUAGUCAUGCAGCUUGGAUAAUGGGAUUUCAGCAGUGGUUGUCAUUACAAAGAUUGUCACCACAUAGCUUGAUGAAAAUCUAUCCCAGGACUUGCUGACACAAUGGCCAUUGAUAGAAUAUUUUCUGCUCAGAUUGCUUUUUGGUCUUGUUCUGACUUGGACUCAGGAAGCUAGCCAAAGGAGUCUGAGCCAUAUCAGCUUCCUAGCGACAUGUUAUGCAGUUGAACAUUAGAAAAAGAUGGACAGACUUUACACUCGUGGGACCUUUGGAAAUGUUUUAAAAGAUGGUCUUGAUUUGCUAAGCAUAAGUGUAUUUGCCUAUGGAUAACCUCUGAGUCCAGGGUCUAAAAGUAGGUGCUGCCAUGAAAUCUUUUCAUGGGUUCAUUUCAUACAUUUGUAGGUUGGAAAAGAACAUUGUGUAGUUGAUCCCAAAAUAACUAUGAGCUGCCACUGUGAAUAGGAAAACAGGGCCCUAAGACAUCUUAGGAGCAAUGUUUCUAGCGGAGUUUGGAAGGGAUUAAUGCCAUUGUCCUUGGCUCUGGCAAGAUACCAUCUAGAACACUGCAUGCCAUGCUGGUCAUGUAUAUUGAAGAGAAAUGAAUAAAACUGAAACUGGAGCAGAAAGCCACUACUGAGAUGAGGGAGAAUGGAAAGUUAGGAGCGCUGAGCUAGCUUAGUCUCAGACAAAGUCAGACAAAGGCUAAGAUGGACAUUUCUGUCUGUAAAUGCACAAAGGGUAAAUACGAUGGAGUAAGAGCUAUUUAAGGCCAAUGCUGGCACAAGAACAAAUGGAUAUAAACCAGUCACAAAUAUAUUUAGCAUGAAAAUCAGAAGAACGUUCUGGGAACAGCUUCUCAGUGGGAAUUAUGGUGGCAGAGGAUCUUAAGAUGGAACUUGAUACAUUUGUGAAAGGAAUUACAUAAUGUAGCAUUUGCAAAGGCUGGAGGCUGGAGUGACUCAGGAGAUCCUUUUACCUUACAUUCCAAUUUAUUUUGACCCCGAUAAGGCACAGCAUAAAAUUUCAUGCUUCAGUUCCUCUAUCUGUUCUAACCAUCUGCGACUAGACUUCAGCACCUCUCUUAAAAGUCAUUUAAAGAUUGAACAAGACAAUGAAUUUAUCAUAUCCUUUGGAGUAUUUGAAACAUGAAUUCCUGUUUGCUGUUCCUUAGAAAGGAAACAGUUUUAGAAAGUAUUGUCUAACAUAUAUAUACAAAAUAAUAUUUAUUAUCUUUUUAUACAUGGAGUAUUUUUUAUCCAAUCUUUCCUAGUUGACAGUGUUGCUUAUCAACAAAUUUUCCAUAGUAUCUAACCAGUACGUAAGAGAGGCGUUAUGAUUUGAGUUUCCUGCUGAAACGUAUUUGAUAACCAUUCCCUAGAUAAUACACUUACUAAAUGAACCAUGUAAAAGUUUCCCGCUUCUGUCCCUGGGAGUGCUGUCUUCACUGUGGUCUGAUGGUUCUAGCAAGAUACAGACUUUCUCAGGCAAGGCAUCUGUCACUGCCAGCCUCAGAAACAUUUGACUCACAUGUAUGAAUGAGAACCAGGAUCUGGUCUUUAGGGACAUUUCUGUCUGGCUUACAUAAUCUGUUUUUCAUAGGGAGAGGGAAAAGGAAUGCACAGGUUCUCUUCUUCCCAUUAGGCUGGUUCUUUCCAAAAUGUCUCUUUAAUAUACUGGGAGUGUUUUCUCUUCUGUUUUUAUUCCAUGUGGAUUUUUGGAGAUGUCUAUCACUCCUUUAUAAAACUAACAACUGCUUUCUCCUUCCUUUUAAACAGGCUUUCUUCAAAGGUAUUUUAUCUUUGAUCUGCAUGGAGUAUCCCUCAAGUUACUUACUGUCCACCAAAAGAACAUUGUGAAGACAGUGUUUUUGAGAAAGGCAAACUUGCUUCUGCCUAGUAGCCCUGUUUCUUCCAAGGCAGGCAGGCUCUCCUCUGUUCCCUCAGUAUUUGGGGCAGAUGCCCAUCUCCAGCAGUUUGCAUUCCUGAUGCUUCAUAUGAAGUCAAACAUUCUAAGUUGCCUUUAAAUGUGUUGUUUUGUAUUACCUCUAUUACUGUUUUGUAACCUUUGUAUUACAGUUCACCUGUCUGCAUAACAGAAAAAGACAUAUCAGUUUCUUUAUCAUAGUUUGAUAUGGCUAACUGAGGCUCCAGCCAGUUUUCAUACUCAGAAGUCCAGCUUGGGAUGGGCAACUCGAUGGUCACUGUUCUGCAAAUCAUGAACAUGGGCAAUCCUCACUGCCUUAAUAAAGUAUUUUUCAGACCAGA